GAAAUGCGAUAAGUAAUGUGAAUUGCAGAAUUCCGUGAAUCAUCGAGUUUUUGAACGCACAUUGCGCUCCUUGGUAUUCCGAGGAGCACGCCUGUUUGAGCGUCAUUUCACUCUCCCUCGGGGUAUUGGAGGCGGCCGCGGCCGCGUCUGAAUGAGAUGAGCGACUACGGAUGAACACUCGUCGAGUAGUCUUGACCUCUCACGUUGACCUCAGAUCAGGCGGGGAUACCCGCUGAACUUAA
This 242-nucleotide unclassified non-coding RNA is filed under the name uncultured Ascomycota. Its description in RNAcentral is "sequence contains ITS1". The stretch from base 1 to 105 matches the Rfam family "5.8S ribosomal RNA", at positions 50 to 154 of the family's 154-position model. Lineage: Eukaryota; Fungi; Ascomycota. The record is from RNAcentral.